RNAcentral lists this long non-coding RNA (2075 nucleotides) under Solanum tuberosum (potato). RNAcentral's name for it is "long non-coding RNA (STUB_LNC005512)". The record is from RNAcentral. Lineage: Eukaryota; Viridiplantae; Streptophyta; Magnoliopsida; Solanales; Solanaceae.
UGAUUUUGGAAGAUAAUUCUACUCUCUGGAUUAUCUUUUUGAGAGUGUAUCCAUGUAUUAACACUAAAGAAUAAAGGUCCUUCAUUAAAGCCAUGAACAACAAUCUGCACCAAGUGUAUCUCUUUGUCAAGGAGAUUGGUAAUAAUGAUAGCGCCAGGACGUCCAAAAUUGUGUGGUACAGUGAAAUUUGCAGCAUAUUCAACUAUAUGUGGAUGAUCAGAAGGCUUGGACAACCAACCCCUCACAUAAGACUCCGCAAACUUUCCCGAUUUGGUAACUGUGAGCAGAAUAUAGUUUUAGUACUUCAUUAACCUCAGAAUACUACUCUGAAGUGUCCAGUGGAAAUGAUGUUUAUGUCGUAUGCAUCCACCAGUCACAAUAAACGGAAUCAUUAUGAACUAAGUUUGCAACAUACUGUGUUGGCAACCAAGUCUUUCACAACAUGAAACAAGAUAAAUGAACUAAAAGGCACCCAGAAAUACUAAAAAGUAGGAAAGAUAAUACAGUUGAGAACAAAAGGCACAAAAAGAAUAGAUGAUGACAAUGUAUAUCUGCACUAGGUGGUCUUUUCCACUUUCCACCAAACCAUAUGUAUAAUAAUUAACCAUAGCUAACUAAUCUAUAAGUUUAUGUGCUAACUCAUUUCAUACAGUUAUAAGUCAGGUGUACACACCAUGUACUAAUAAGUUUUUCCUUCAUUUUGCUCCCACAAAAAUAACAACAUACCCAGUGAAUCCCCCAAAAAAAGGUUAUGGGGAGGGUAAAGUGUACACAGUCCUUACCACUACCUCUCCGAAGUAGAGAGAUUGUUUCCGAAAGACCUCUGCUCAAGCAACUCAAAGCAGUAAUAAAAAAAGGCAGUGGGGGUUUUAAAUAAUUUUUAAAAAGAUAGAUGGUCUUUCGAGAACAACCUCUCUAUUUCCAAGAGGUAGUGAUAAGGUCUGCGCACACUCUACCCUCCCCAGACUCCACUGAUUGGGAUUUCAUUGGGUAUGUUUUUGUUGUAGAGGGUCUUUCGGAAACAGACUCUCUACCUCCACAAAUAAUGUAUGGUAAAGUCUUCGUACACUAAACCUCCCCCCCAGAGCUCACUUGUGAAAGGAGGAGGGGUGGGGGGUGGGGGGGUUUCAAGCAAGUCAAUGAACCAUAUUGAACUCAAGACAGCAAAAAUGAAAAUGAAAACAGAUCAAAGAAAAAACAUUAACUAUAGAACUCAACUGGUACAAUAAUAAACUCAUGAAGUUUGUAAAGGGAAUGUCUGAGCUUGACAAUGUAGCCGCAAUUAAUGGUACCAGGUUAUGUAACAGAGCUUUCAACCUUCCAGCAGAAAAAGUAUUUUGCUUAAUUUCUUCAAAAGUUUCGUCUCUAGGGACGUAAACUGGAUGAGGUUUCUCUAUUCUUCUUUCUGCAAGUGGAUCUUUCAGCAUCCAAAGAUCAAGAAAAAGUCGGUAUAAGAAUGUCGGGGCAACAAACUAAAUGAAAAAUAUACUCUUCAGCAGAAUGCUCAGUACCUUUCUUAGUUGGACCUCUACCAGUUCGACAGCGCCUAGGAUAAGGUUUCUCUUUGCCACCUACCAGUGGCCUAGCAAGAUCCUCACUUUUGUCAGGAUUGCCUAAAUCAUUAUAAACAUCAUAAUCAUAGAUUCGUUCAUGUAGCUUCCUUUCGCCUUUACCAUUGCCACGAAUGCUCAACAAGUCUUCACGUCGAAGAUCCUUGAUACCAGGUGGUGUUUGAGAUGGUAGAUAUGCCUGUUAUAAAAUGCAAUGACAUCCUUGAUCAAGCACCAUUAUCUACUUUGCUAAUGAAAAUGAAAAAGUAAAAUCAUUUGAAAGUAUGUGGCUUACCUGAUUUUGGAAGAUAAUUCUACUCUCUGGAUUAUCUUUUUGAGAGUGUAUCCAUGUAUUAACACUAAAGAAUAAAGGUCCUUCAUUAAAGCCAUGAACAACAAUCUGCACCAAGUGUAUCUCUUUGUCAAGGAGAUUGGUAAUAAUGAUAGCGCCAGGACGUCCAAAAUUGUGUGGUACAGUGAAAUUUGCAGCAUAUUCAACUAUAUGUGGAUGAUCAGAAGGCUUGG